CGGAUAGCUCAGUCGGUAGAGCAGGGGAUUGAAAAUCCCCGUGUCGGUGGUUCGAUUCCGCCUCCG
Molecule: transfer RNA, 66 nt
Filed under: Escherichia coli
Lineage: Bacteria; Pseudomonadati; Pseudomonadota; Gammaproteobacteria; Enterobacterales; Enterobacteriaceae
Description: tRNA-Phe
Rfam family: tRNA
About the family: Transfer RNA (tRNA) molecules are approximately 80 nucleotides in length.
Source: RNAcentral